UACAGAGGGGGCAAGCGUUGUUCGGAAUUACUGGGCGUAAAGGGCGCGUAGGCGGCCUGCUAAGUCGAACGUGAAAUCCCCGGGCUCAACCCGGGAACUGCGUCCGAUACUGGUUGGCUUGAAUCCGGGAGAGGGAUGCGGAAUUCCAGGUGUAGCGGUGAAAUGCGUAGAUAUUGGGAGGAACACCAGUGGCGAAGGCGGCUCACUGGACCGGUUCUGACGCUGAUGCGCGAAAGCGUGGGGAGCAAACGGG
RNAcentral lists this ribosomal RNA (253 nucleotides) under uncultured prokaryote. Its description in RNAcentral is "partial 16S ribosomal RNA". It matches the Rfam family "Bacterial small subunit ribosomal RNA", at positions 524 to 776 of the family's 1533-position model. The record is from RNAcentral.